UCCCCACUGUGUUUUUAUUUCAUGACACUUACGCUUCCAACGCCUCUUUUGCUUGCUGAACUGAAUUCACGGAUCGUUCCACCAAAUAGUCACUCUAUUUUCUUCAAUUUCUGAUUUUCGUAACUGCAAAUUCCAUUAUAAUCUCACACCCAUUUUCCAAUUCAUCAUUAUUAUCUUUGAUAUGGAUCCUCAAAUUCAAUUUUCGGCAAGAUUUGAGUCAAAAUCAUAUUUUUUUUCCUCGAGCAUUCGAAGGAGCGCAAUUUUUUGCAGGGGGACUUGCAGACCCAACAACCCUCACGAGCCAAAAUUCGAGGUAUUCGAGCCUUCUUCAUUUUGCUAAGUUGUACCCGAAAAUGGAAGGAUUUAUUCAAGGUGGGCAUGAAGAAGAGAUUAAAAAAACCACCAUUUUGGAACUUGUUUAAGGCAUAUCGUGAUGGUCAUGUUACAUUUGAGUUUUGCAAAAAACUUGACAUGGAUGUUGCUAAAAUAGUAAAGCAGUACAAUAAAGAUAUGAAGUUCUUUGUGUUUGGGGACAUUUACGCGAGGUUAACACCAAGUGAUAUAGCUGCAAUUCUUGGCUUGCCUAACAUGGGUUCCAUACUUAAGCACA
Molecule: long non-coding RNA, 610 nt
Organism: Pyrus x bretschneideri (Chinese white pear)
Lineage: Eukaryota; Viridiplantae; Streptophyta; Magnoliopsida; Rosales; Rosaceae
Exons: 2
Source: RefSeq, a predicted model, not a curated record